Molecule: small RNA, 78 nt
Filed under: Flavobacterium fluvii
Lineage: Bacteria; Pseudomonadati; Bacteroidota; Flavobacteriia; Flavobacteriales; Flavobacteriaceae
Description: Flavobacterium sp. H7 Flavo-1 RNA
Rfam family: Flavo-1 RNA
Source: Rfam by way of RNAcentral
CACUAGCCCCGAUUGCAACGGCAUCCUUUUCUUGCUUCCUUUAAGCAAGAAAAGAUAAAGUGGAAAGCGGGAAUUAGC